AUGAACGCUGGCGGCGUGCUUCACCCAUGCCAGUCGCACGAAGCACUUUAUUUGAUUUCCUUCGGGACUGAUUAUUUUGUGACUGAGUGGCGGACGGGUGAGUAACGCGUGGGUAACCUGCCUUGUACAGGGGGAUAACAGUUGGAAACGGCUGCUAAUACCGCAUAAGCGCACAGCAUCGCAUGAUGCAGUGUGAAAAACUCCGGUGGUAUAAGAUGGACCCGCGUUGGAUUAGCUAGUUGGUGAGGUAACGGCCCACCAAGGCGACGAUCCAUAGCCGACCUGAGAGGGUGACCGGCCACAUUGGGACUGAGACACAGCCCAAACUCCUACGGGAGGCAGCAGUGGGGAAUAUUGCACAAUGGGCGAAAGCCUGGUGCAGCGACGCCGCGUGAGCGAAGAAGUAUUUCGGUAUGUAAAGCUCUAUCAGCAGGGAAGAUAAUGACGGUACCUGACUAAGAAGCACCGGCUAAAUACGUG
Molecule: ribosomal RNA, 480 nt
Filed under: uncultured bacterium
Lineage: Bacteria
Description: partial 16S ribosomal RNA
Rfam family: Bacterial small subunit ribosomal RNA
Source: RNAcentral